CCUACGGGAGGCAGCAGUGGGGAAUAUUGGACAAUGGGCGCAAGCCUGAUCCAGCAAUGCCGCGUGAGUGAUGAAGGCCUUAGGGUCGUAAAGCUCUUUUACCAGGGAUGAUAAUGACAGUACCUGGAGAAUAAGCUCCGGCUAACUCCGUGCCAGCAGCCGCGGUAAUACGGAGGGAGCUAGCGUUGUUCGGAAUUACUGGGCGUAAAGCGUACGUAGGCGGUUAUUCAAGUCAGAGGUGAAAGCCCGGGGCUCAACCCCGGAACGGCCUUUGAAACUAGGUAGCUAGAAUCUUGGAGAGGUCAGUGGAAUUCCGAGUGUAGAGGUGAAAUUCGUAGAUAUUCGGAAGAACACCAGUGGCGAAGGCGACUGACUGGACAAGUAUUGACGCUGAGGUACGAAAGCGUGGGGAGCAAACAGGAUUAGAUACCCUAGGUAGUCCGACGCCGUAAACGAUGAUAACUAGCUGUUCGGGCACUUGGUGCUUGAGUGGCGCAGCUAACGCAUUAAGUUAUCCGCCUGGGGAGUACGGUCGCAAGAUUAAAACUUAAAGGAAUUGACGG
RNAcentral lists this ribosomal RNA (563 nucleotides) under uncultured bacterium. RNAcentral describes it as "bacterial SSU rRNA". It matches the Rfam family "Bacterial small subunit ribosomal RNA", at positions 338 to 916 of the family's 1533-position model. The record is from RNAcentral.